This 372-nucleotide ribosomal RNA is filed under the name uncultured organism. RNAcentral describes it as "bacterial SSU rRNA". It matches the Rfam family "Bacterial small subunit ribosomal RNA", at positions 526 to 896 of the family's 1533-position model. The record is from RNAcentral.
CGUAGGUGGCAAGCGUUGUCCGGGAUUAUUGGGCGUAAGGCGCGCGCAGGCGGUCCUUUAAGUCUGAUGUGAAAGCCCACGGCUCAACCGUGGAGGGUCAUUGGAAACUGGGGGACUUGAGUGCAGAAGAGGAGAGUGGAAUUCCACGUGUAGCGGUGAAAUGCGUAGAGAUGUGGAGGAACACCAGUGGCGAAGGCGACUCUCUGGUCUGUAACUGACGCUGAGGCGCGAAAGCGUGGGGAGCAAACAGGAUUAGAUACCCUGGUAGUCCACGCCGUAAACGAUGAGUGCUAAGUGUUAGAGGGUUUCCGCCCUUUAGUGCUGCAGCUAACGCAUUAAGCACUCCGCCUGGGGAGUACGGCCGCAAGGCUG